RNAcentral lists this long non-coding RNA (617 nucleotides) under Olea europaea subsp. europaea. The record is from RNAcentral. Lineage: Eukaryota; Viridiplantae; Streptophyta; Magnoliopsida; Lamiales; Oleaceae.
AGUUCAGAGAAAACUAUCGCCUUGAAACUUCAAUCUUUAUGGAAAGAUUUUGACAAUCUCAAAAUGGAAGAACGAGAGUCUGUUCGUGAUUUCUCUUCACGAGUUUCGGAGAUUGUAAACCAAAUCAAAAGUUGUGGAGAUACAAUUAAAGACAAAAGAGUUGUUGAAAAAGUGCUUCAAUAUCUCCCUUCAAAAUUUGAUCAUGUAGCCGCCGCAAUUGAAGAAUCAAAAGAUUUGUCUAAAAUGACCAUGUACGAGUUGAUCGGAUCGCUUCUUGCACAUGAGCAAAGAAUCAAUCGUUCGGCUAGUCAAUCAAUCGAACAAGCCUUCCAAUCAAAGCAAGCAUUAAAAAUAACUUUAAGCAAUCAUGGAGGUUCAAACAAUAAAAAGGGAAAGUUUAGCAAGUGGAGUCAAAAUGAAAAGCAAAGCAAUUGGAAAGCCAAGGCACCACAACAAUCCGGUAAGGCUCAAUCUUGCAUUAUUUGCAAAAAGAACAAUCAUGAAUCAAAAGAUUUCUAUUUUAAAUGCAAAAGAUGCAAGGUACCUAAUCAUUCUCAAAAGGAUUGUUGGUUUCAAAAUAAGGAGAAAAUGAAGAUGCGGCAAAUUUUUUAAAGAAA